Molecule: ribosomal RNA, 1287 nt
Filed under: metagenome
Description: bacterial LSU rRNA
Rfam family: Bacterial large subunit ribosomal RNA
Source: RNAcentral
UGAAUACGAGAUGCUACGGCGUCGAAGCAGUCUAUGUCAUACUUCCAAGAAAAGCUUGCACUGUCAUAAACAAAUAAUGCCUGUACCAUAACCGACACAGGUGGGUAGGUAGAGUAUACUAAGGGGCGCGAGAUAACUCUCUCUAAGGAACUCGGCAAAAUGACUCCGUAACUUCGGGAGAAGGAGUGCCUUAUUUAUAAGGUUGCAAUAACAAGAUCCAAGCAACUGUUUACCAAAAACACAGGUCUCCGCUAAGUCGUAAGACGAUGUAUGGGGGCUGACGCCUGCCCAGUGCCAGAAGGUUAAAGAAGUUGGUUAGCAUCCGCGAAGCUGAUAACUGAAGCCCUGGUGAACGGCGGCCGUAACUAUAACGGUCCUAAGGUAGCGAAAUUCCUUGUCGGGUAAGUUCCGACCCGCACGAAAGGCGUAAUGAUUUGGAUACUGUCUCGGAGAGGGGCUCGGUGAAAUAGACUUGUCUGUGAAGAUGCGGACUACCUGCACCAGGACAGAAAGACCCUAUGAAGCUUUACUGUAACCUGAAAUUGAAAUUGGACUUUACUUGCGCAGUAUAGGUGGGAGGCGUUGAGAAUAUUCUUGCGGGAUUAUUGGAGCCAUCAGUGAGAUACCACUCUUGUAAUGUUAGAUUUCUAACUUUGUAUCAUUAUCUGGUCAAAGAACAGUUUCAGGCGGGCAGUUUGACUGGGGCGGUCGCCUCCUAAACGGUAACGGAGGCGCACAAAGGUUUCCUCUGAACGGGUAGAAAUCGUAUCUAGAGUGUAAAGGCAUAAGGAAGCUUGACUGUGAGACCUACAAGUCGAGCAGGGACGAAAGUCGGUCUUAGUGAUCUGACGGUGCUGAGUGGAAAGGCCGUCACUCAACGGAUAAAAGUUACUCUAGGAUAACAGGCUGAUCUCCCCCAAGAGUUCACAUCGACGGGGAGGUUUGGCACCUCGAUGUCGGCUCAUCGCAUCCUGGGGCGGUAGUACGUCCCAAGGGUUGGGCUGUUCGCCCAUGAAAGCGGUACGCGAGCUGGGUUCAGAACGUCGUGAGACAGUUCGGUCCAUAUCCGGUGUAGGCGUUAGAAUAUUGAGAGGAGCCUUCUUUAGUACGAGAGGACCGAGAAGGACAUACCUCUGGUGUAGCAGUUAUCGUGCCAACGGUAAACGCUGGGUAGCUAUGUGUGGAGUGGAUAACCGCUGAAAGCAUCUAAGUGGGAAGCCCACCUCAAGACGAGUAUUCUGGUGUAAGGUCACGGGAAGACGACCCGUAAAUAGGCACGAGGUGGAA